UAUCUCUGUAGAGUCUGCAUAUCAAUAAGCGGAGGAAAAGCUAAACGCAUAUGCUGCAAAGUUCCUUCCUCCAAUACAACUGCACGAAUGAAGUGUGUGUCGCAGACAUCCUUUCCCUUCUUGCGGGAAAUGGAGCAUACGAAGUGGUCUUGUCUGGUUUCAAAACUGUUGCUGGUACAGUAGUACAAUUUCUCACCGCAAUCAGCACAACGAGCGAUACCGGAAAACAUAUUGGUCUUGCCUGUUCGGGUAGGUCUGCGCUUGUUUUUGCGAAGCUCCUGCACACGGGCAAAGGUAUCUUCAUCAACAAUGGCUUCGUGGGUGUUCUCGAAAAUCUUCCAUUGGUCGGGAGGGUUUUCGAGUUUCUUUUUGCUCUUGUACGACAGCUUGCGGGUCUUGAAGUUGACCAUGUGACCAAGGUAUUCCUGCUUCUCCAGUAUGCCGGUGAUGGUGCGUGGUGCCCAUGCGUAAAGGUCAUCGGGUAUGUUGGCAGGAGCAUCUCUUCCCAUCUUCAUCCGAUGAACCGUAGGACAAUCCACCUUUGCUUCCUUCAGCUUCUUGGCGAUCUGAGAGGGGCCGAAGCCCUCCAUGCACCAAGCGAAGAUUUGACGGACAACGGCUGCGGCUUCAUCGUCCACAAUCCAAUGUCUCUUUGGAUUGUCGGGGUCUUUCAUAUAGCCGUAGGGCGGGUUGGUGGUCAGAUACUCACCGGAUUCGCCUUUCUGCUUCAUGGAUGCCUUGACCUUUUUACUGCUGUCCUUAACAUAAAACUCAUUCAUAAUGUUCAGGAACGGAGUAAAGUCGUUGUCAAUUUGAUUGGCACUGUCCACGCCGCUGUUCACGGCAAUGAAGCGGACAUUGUGUUCAGGGAAGAGAAUUUCCGUGUAGAUGCCGACUUCCAAAUAGUUUCUGCCGAUACGGCUCAUGUCUUUGGCGAGAAUGAUACCAACUUUAUCAUUCUCCACCAGUUCAAUCAUGCGCUGCCAGUCGGGUCUUUUGAAGUUAGCCCCGGAGUACCCGUCAUCCACGAAAAACUGGAUAUUUUUGAAACCUUGUUCUUUAGCGUACCUUUUGAGAAUCGCCUUUUGAGACGGGAUUUGUCAAGGGGACUUUCUUCAAAACGCAUAAAAUUGUUCAUGGGCAGGUUUUUUCUCCUGCCCAUGACAUUGUAAUUACCAAUCAAGCUUAUCCCAUUUCGUGGAAUUCAGCGUAGUUAUUGUACCUGUUUCAUCUCCCAUAAGUUCCCGGAUCGCAUAUUCCGCUUCAUCCGCAUAAUAUCUGCGCCGUUCCUCGUUCAGCAGAAGAUAUGGGUAUCCACUGAACUGAAUGUACUGAUUUCCUUCAUAGUCUGCAAUGGUGUCCUCAUGGUAUUGAUUCAGAUAAAAUAGGCAAUCUCUGGACGCAAAGAACACAUUGUUGCGAACAACUGCUCCCUCCUGUAGAUUCGGACCGCCAUCUACCGCAAAGGCGCAGGAUGUGUUCUUACUAAGCCAAUCAUUCAAGCCGGUGAAUAAGACCAUAUUAUCUUCGUAAAUCAGAUUUUUGAACAUCAUCUCGGGAUUUCGUUCCAUGUCCCAGUUAAAAUAUCCAAGGCCGGAACCUACAUGAUAAAUCAAAUUUUCAGCGAUUAAAACAUCCUUGAUGAUAAGAUCAUCCGUGUAUGCUUUCUGACUUUCAAAAAUCUCAACCAAUGCAGCUUCUACAUAAAUUUCAUGGAUAUAGUUGUUGCGAAUUGUCAUAUCAUCCGCAUGGCUACCAAUCGCACCGCCUACCCGAAGGGCACCACGGGGAUUUCCGUCGUGAUCCUCAAAGGAAUAAGAAAUAAUUAGCCCACCAAUCCAUGCCAUUUCGCAGUUUUGCACUGUAAGGCCAGCAUUACCUACGCUUAGGAUGUUGACUGAUAUGUAGUCGUA
RNAcentral lists this ribosomal RNA (1913 nucleotides) under uncultured Neocallimastigales. RNAcentral's name for it is "partial large subunit ribosomal RNA". Lineage: Eukaryota; Fungi; Neocallimastigomycota; Neocallimastigomycetes; Neocallimastigales. The record is from RNAcentral.